Oncorhynchus kisutch (coho salmon) is the source of this 3072-nucleotide long non-coding RNA. RefSeq lists it as uncharacterized. The transcript is spliced from 3 exons. Lineage: Eukaryota; Metazoa; Chordata; Actinopteri; Salmoniformes; Salmonidae. The record is from RefSeq and is a predicted model, not a curated record.
GUUACGGUGGAAAAUGGCCCAAUCCAACCACACCUCCCCCUGGCCUGUCAGCGGUUUCACGUGCAAAGAUGAUGGGUGAUUGUUGAUAGCUGACAGGCAGUACAAUGAAUAGAAAUAAAUCUAAUUUGCCAACAAAAAUAAUGUGCGAAACAAUUGUUUAUUUUUUUGGGAAACGAGAGAAAGUCGAUAAGUCACUUCGAAUCAGCAAAGCAUAUGAGAAUGUCAGAACAGUUCCCACAGCAGCGGCAGAUCACCAUGACUGAAGUGGUAGCAGCGAAGACUGUGGCAAGCUCUGAAAGAAUGAAGAGAGACCGUGUGAGUGGGAAUGGAAGUUGCAUCUCGUGUUGAUAGCAAGCCCCAAGCCUGAUGGAGAGAUGAGAUCCGAGAAGCCGUGUGGAGCAUUCCAAACAGGCAAAGGACUGGGUACAGAAGAGUGUCUGAAGAGGAGACAUUCAACUUUAGAUCCCGAUUGAUCCAGCAGGCUGUCAAGCGGCGGGAAGAUAAACAAAGACCCAGACUUCAACGUUGACACACCAGACCUACCUUGCCACUAGCUCCUCCUUGGUUGGUUUUUCAACUGGAGCAAUGAUGGGAAAACUUUUCAGCCUAACUUUGCAACUAACUUUAGUUAGCCUAUUGAUGGCAGUCUGAUGUGGUGGAAUGCCAUCAAUAACAUGUUAUGCAAUCAUUGGUAGCUUUGUGCAUUGUGACUCCUAUAUAGACCACCUGGAACAGCACCAUUCUCCACCUCAGGGGGUGUAUUCAUUCAGGUAAACUCAUGGGCAUAAGAAUCAGAACGAUUUAGAACAGGUUUAGAACUGCUAACCAUGGCAAUUUGACUGGUCAGCUCAUUGGUCCUCUUGCAUUGGCUGCCUGGUGGUGUCAUCAAAUACAAUUGUAUUUGUCACUUGCUUUGUAAUCAACAGGUGGAGACCUACAGUGAAAUGCUUACUUACGGGCCAGUCCCAACAAUGCUGAGUGAGAAAAUAGAGAAAUAAUAGAAAAGUAAUAACACGUUUUAAUACAAGUAAUAAUAAAUACACAAUAAGUAAUACUAACUUGGCUAUAUACAUGGGGUACCAGUACUGAGUUGAUGUGCAGGGGUAUGAAGUAAUUGAGGUAGAUAUGUACAUAUAACUAAGAAUAAAGUGACAGAAAAUAAACGGUAAUAGCAGCGUAUGUGAUGGGUCAAAAAAGUUGGUGCAAAAAGAGCAAUGCAAAUAUUCUGGGUAGCUAUUUUUGUUAACUAGUUAGCAGUCUUCUGGCUUGGGGGUUGAAGCUGUUCAGGGUCCUGUUGGUUCCAGACUUGGCUCAUCGGUACCGCUUGCUGUGCGUGAUGCAAUAAUUUCCAUGGUAUUGUAGAAUGUUCAUUCAAAUGAUGCUACCUGAUGUGACUCAUGCAAUGGAAUGUACUUUUUGUAAUGUCAGUUGGGUUGAUUCAACAAAUCACAGUACAGAUUGAUGGGUACACUUCCUGAUUUUACUUUACGCUUUUACUUCCGACUUUGCUCAUAUGGGUACUUUUGCAAUGGCCUGCAGUCCACCAAUUAUACCAUCAUUGUCUUGAAUGGGAACACCCGUUCUAUUCAAUGAGGGGAUUCAAUGAAUUUGGCCCGGGCACCCGGGAAGGUAUGUUUUACCCCUGGUGAAGUUUUGGAACUGUGUUGCCUCCCAGGCGUGAGCCAGCACAUGGAGUAAUGAGUCAGCUUCUCAUCCAAUGUGUUUUGUGAAAGAGAGAGGACACGAAGAGUAUGCAAUUGGGAUCUUCCCCGUGUUUUACAUAACCCCACGGUCCUAUAGGUUUUUAAUCCGACCCUUCUCAAGCUCAGCUGUUGGAGUAUAAACCUACAAGAUGGUUGGUUGCUCUCCGGGAACAUGUUUGUAAAAACCUGGUCUAACUAAUGCUGAGUGACUGUGAAUGGCAUAGAAACUGUGUAAUUGUUGUUUAAAAUAAUAACAUACAAUUAUUUAACUCUUUUAACUACAAAAUGUGUUUCUUAAAUGUUAUUUGUAUAAGACUCUAUGAGCCUGCUCAACUUCCUGGAAUCCAAUGUAGCUGCUGUUGGGGUCAGGGUAGUUGGAUGUAAUUGCUGCCACCACAGAGGCUGGGAGUACCUGUCGUUGGCCUCGACCUAGAUGUUCUCCCCUCAGCAUCCACUCCAGGGUGAUCCGAUAAGAAACCAGUCUAUUUGGUCCCAUGUUUUAUGAGUUGAAAUAAAAGAUCCCAGAAAUGUUCCAUACGCACAAAAAGCUUCUUUCUCUCAAAUUGUGUGCACAAAUUUGUUUACAUCCCUGUUGGUGAGCAUUUCUCGCCAAGAUAAUCCAUCCACCUGACAGGUGUGGCAUAUCAAGACGCUGAUUAAACAGCACGAUCAUUACACAGGUGCACCUUGUGCUGGGGACAAUAAAAUGCUGGCCCCUCUAAAAUCUGCAGUUUUGUCACACAACACAAUGCCACAGAUGUCUCAAGUUUUGAGGGAGUGUGCAAUUGGCAUGCUGACUGCAGGAAUGUCCACCGAGCUGUUUCCAGAUAAUUGAAUGUUAAUUUCUCAACCAUAAGCCACCUCCAACAUAAUGUUUGAGAAUUUAGCAGUAUGUCCAACUAUAGACCACGUGUAUGGUGUCAUAUAGGCGAGCAGUUUGCUGAUGUCAACGUUGUGAACAAAGUGCCUCCUGGUGGCUGUGGGGUUAUGGUAUAAACAGAUUUUUUUUCACCUUUAUUGGCUCGGGGAUUUGACCAGCAACCUUGCUGUAACUGGCCCAAAAACACUAGCCGAAUGGCUACCUGCUGCAGUACUAUUGACAGCUCUCUUGGUAUUGUAUACGUGAAGACUGUAUAGUGUUAGUGGUCAAGUGUGAGGCUGUUUUUCUUCCUCUUGUGUGUGGGUUUACUGGCUAAUUAGGAUAUUAUUGGUAUAAAAGCUAAACUGGCAAUUUCAAGUAACAUGUUAUUCUCUACUACCACUAUUGACUUUAUACUUCUUACAUGGUUUGGUAAUAUAAAUUCUUGUUGAUGUAGACCCAGAUUGAGAAGUGUGCUUCCCAUACAUUCUAUUUCUAUUGCUCAUCCAC